GAUGAAGAACGCAGCGAAAUGCGAUAAGUAGUGUGAAUUGCAGAAUUCCGUGAAUCAUCGAAUCUUUGAACGCACAUUGCGCCCGCUAGUAUUCUGGCGGGCAUGCCUGUCUGAGCGUCAUUUCAACCCUCGCCCCCGGCUUUUGCUGGGAGCGGUGUUGGGGAUCGGCCGCCCGUCACUGGGAGGCCGGCCCCGAAAUAGAGUGGCGACCACGCCGUGUGCUCCUCUGCGUAGUAGUAAAUCACCUCGCAGGCGGACAGCGGUGCGGCCUGCCGUAAAACCCCCAACUCUUUCUGGUUGACCUCAGAUCAGGUAGGAAUACCCGCUGAACUUAAGCAUAUCAAUAAGCGGAGGA
RNAcentral lists this unclassified non-coding RNA (355 nucleotides) under soil metagenome. Its description in RNAcentral is "partial contains 5.8S ribosomal RNA, internal transcribed spacer 2, and large subunit ribosomal RNA". The stretch from base 1 to 120 matches the Rfam family "5.8S ribosomal RNA", at positions 35 to 154 of the family's 154-position model. The record is from RNAcentral.